RNAcentral lists this long non-coding RNA (670 nucleotides) under Chlamydomonas reinhardtii. RNAcentral describes it as "long non-coding RNA (CREI_LNC000236)". Lineage: Eukaryota; Viridiplantae; Chlorophyta; Chlorophyceae; Chlamydomonadales; Chlamydomonadaceae. The record is from RNAcentral.
GCUAGAUGAAGUGUGCGAAACUCAUACACAAAGCAUAGUGGUAUGGAAGCUCGCUGUGACCCGGGCUCUUCUAGGAUAGCAGCCACCUGCAGACCUGCUGGUGCUGAUGACCCCUCGACCGGGCGCUUGAGGUGCCGCGGCUACCAGAGGACUCUGCGUUACAGUGGUCAAAGGCUGCUCGUGGGCCGGACUGCUGGCUUGCUGCUGUGACGCGCACGCCACCGCGAGCCCUGCUGGGGCGAGCCCCUGCAGACUGCAGCUGCGGUAGGUCGCCAGCGACCCCAGCCAUCGCAGAGCUCAGACCCCAUGUUCGUGUGUGUGUGGGGGGAGAGGUUACACGGUGAUGCGCACGUUCUGCGUGCCUUCCUGCAGCUUUUCGGGUCAACAUCCUCGGAACCAGGCUGUGGAAAGCCGAAAGCCGCACGAGAAAGGCAAGUCUGAUGCAUGGUGUUAGUUCUUGCUAUCGGUUAUCAGUAUUGCAGGGCUCGCCCGUCGACAUUUCCCCUGUGUGCGCGGCUCCGAUACAGAAGUCCCAGGUGGGAUUGGGGCAUCGGGGUUCGGGAAUCCGAAUCGCACCAGACGGGGGCGGGUAACAAUCGGGACUUCAAAUCACUAAUACUUUGCAGGCACACUAAUGUUUGAGGUGCUGCAUUGCACGAGCAAGGGCGGG